AAUGAGGCAAUGCGGGAAAUAAGUAACCUUGCCGUACAGCGAACCGGGGAGAGUGUAAGCCCGGUAUUAUCAAGGUGAAAGGCCUUCCCAAGCCGCAGGAGGAAAUCGUCAGAGAGUAAAACCUGCAAUAGAUUAAGGCGGGGCGCUUCUAUGUGCCCAAUCAGGGUGGAACCGCGGGAAUAACAUCUCGUCCCUGUA
RNAcentral lists this non-coding RNA (198 nucleotides) under uncultured Sporomusa sp. Lineage: Bacteria; Bacillati; Bacillota; Negativicutes; Selenomonadales; Sporomusaceae. The record is from RNAcentral.